GCUCGCGUAACUCAGCAGGAUAGAGUGCUCCCCUCCUAAGGGAGAUGUCGCAGGUUCGACUCCUGCCGUGAGCGCCA
RNAcentral lists this transfer RNA (77 nucleotides) under Leucothrix sp. RNAcentral describes it as "tRNA-Arg". It matches the Rfam family "tRNA". From Rfam's summary of the family: Transfer RNA (tRNA) molecules are approximately 80 nucleotides in length. Their secondary structure includes four short double-helical elements and three loops (D, anti-codon, and T loops). Lineage: Bacteria; Pseudomonadati; Pseudomonadota; Gammaproteobacteria; Thiotrichales; Thiotrichaceae. The record is from RNAcentral.